Humulus lupulus (European hop) is the source of this 1413-nucleotide RNA transcript. It is a transcript of the gene named pentatricopeptide repeat-containing protein At4g35850, mitochondrial-like, with no coding region annotated. The record is from RefSeq and is a predicted model, not a curated record. The transcript is spliced from 8 exons. NCBI's taxonomy places the organism in Eukaryota, Viridiplantae, Streptophyta, Magnoliopsida, Rosales, Cannabaceae.
AUUAGGCCCAAAUGUGGAGAAACGGAAUAAGGGGUUUGGGAGGUUUCUGGGUUUUAUACGAAGUUGUUCAGAUCAGAGAGCAGAGCAACGCCAUUGCCAUGAGGCUCCACAAGCUCAUUACUGGGCAGCACAGGUCACUGGCCCAACUCCUGGGUCGCCGAUACUUCUCCGCCGCCGCUUCGACGGAGGAAUACGCAAAGAGGAACUAUGCAAACAAUGUUUCCGAGUACAAUACUGUUAUCGAUUCCGUCUCAGCUCAGAGAAGGCACUUCUUGUUGAGGGAUGUGUAUGAGGAUAUGGUCUGGACGGUGUGCAGCCAACAAGGGACACGUUUCAUUCGCUCAUUGCGGGAACAAUGAAAGGGGCUCGGUUGCAGGAUGCUUUCUUCUUCACUGACCAAAUGAAGUCUAUGGGUUUGGUCCCUGAUGAGAAGAUUGUUGGUUGCUUUUUGAAGGUUUAAAGCUUCGACAACAACUAUCACUGGAGCUGGUAGAGAAGAGAAGAUUAGAUUGUGUAGAUGGGAGAAGUGGAGUUGUGUGGAAGGGAGUGUGAGGGGUAGAAGGGAGAGUGAAAGUAUCAACGGCAAAUACCUGUGCUCUUCUAUAACACCGUCUACCGUUUCACCAAGCCCUAGCCCUGUCCAUUGCUCGAUCCCAAGCAAGAUGGCAGAGGUGAAUGGAAACAACAUAGAAGAAGAGGUGGCACUGGUGGCAGGGAAUAAUAGUAAUAAUAAUAAAAAAUAUGAUUUUAUUGAUCCUUAUGAUCCUCAUUGGGAUGGGAAACCUUACCCAACACCAAAAUCCAAGCCCCAUCUACCCCUACCCAGAUGAGCCAGAAGAUUUUGAAGAAGAUUUGUUAAUUAUUGCAAACCAACUGAAACUCACUGAUGGUUUUCAUGUUGAUUACCUUCCUAAAGGCAGAAGGCAGUGGCUUGCGUUUACCGUGCGCUCUGCUGAUGAUGAAGGGGGUUGCUGAUUUGAAGCUUAGCAAGGUUCUGAGUGUGUUAUCUGGGAUGGCUGCAGGAGUACAUUACGAUUUGACGUUGCAAUGUACUGACGGUUGCUUUCAUGAAGCUAGGAUCUUCAUGGGAAUUGGCGAUGCUAUCGAGUUAAUAACGUUUAGGCCUGCAAAACAUUGGCCAAGGCCGACGAUGAGGUAAGAAUUUAGUAGAUAAGAAGAUUGUAAAGAGGAGGAACUAGCCAAUUAGGUGGUGCUGAAACCUCAUGAACAUAGAUGGUACCAAUGAACUAGGAAGAACUAGAAGACUUUUGCUUUUAUUUUGAAAGCAUUAUUGUGCACAAUAUUACUUUGACAAUUAAAAUGAUGUGUUUUCUUUAAAAAAAUAUUUUUGAUUGAUUGGUUCUUUGAGAUUUAAAAAAAUUAUUAAAAUAAAUCAUGUUCAGUAUUUUAAAA